GACGAACGCUGGCGGCGUGCUUAACACAUGCAAGUCGAACGGAAAGGCCCUGCUUUGGUGGGGUGCUCUAGUGGCGAACGGGUGAGUAACACGUGAGUAACCUGCCCUUGACUGUGGGAUAACUUCAGGAAACUGGGGCUAAUACCGGAUAGGAGCUCCUGCUGCAUGGUGGGGGUGGGAAAGUUUCGGCGGUUGGGGAUGGACUCGCGGCUUAUCAGCUUGUUGGUGGGGUAGUGGAUUACCAAGGCUUUGACGGGUAGCCGGCCUGGGAGGGUGACCGGCCCCAUUGGGACUGAGAUACGGCCCAGACUCCUACGGGAGGCAGGGGUGGGGAAUAUUGCACAAUGGGCGGGAGCCUGAUGCAACACCGCCGCGUGCGGGAUGACGGCAUUCGGGUUGUAAACCGCUUUCGCCUGUGACGAAGCGUGAGUGACGGUAAUGGGUAAAGAAGCACCGGCUAACUACGUG
This 468-nucleotide ribosomal RNA is filed under the name uncultured bacterium. RNAcentral's name for it is "partial 16S ribosomal RNA". It matches the Rfam family "Bacterial small subunit ribosomal RNA", at positions 28 to 507 of the family's 1533-position model. The record is from RNAcentral.